UACGGGGGGUGCGAGCGUUGUCCGGAAUCACUGGGCGUAAAGGGCGCGUAGGCGGUCUGAUAAGGGUGUGGUGAAAGUCCGGGGCUCAACCCCGGAUCUGCCGUGCCGACUCUCAGACUCGAGGACUGUAGAGGCAGGCGGAAUUCCGGGUGUAGCGGUGGAAUGCGUAGAGAUCCGGAGGAAGACCGGUGGCGAAGGCGGCCUGCUGGGCAGUUUCUGACACUGAUGCGCGACAGCGUGGGGAGCAAACAGG
This 253-nucleotide ribosomal RNA is filed under the name uncultured bacterium. RNAcentral's name for it is "partial 16S ribosomal RNA". It matches the Rfam family "Bacterial small subunit ribosomal RNA", at positions 524 to 776 of the family's 1533-position model. The record is from RNAcentral.